UGAGGCGCCUGGUCCUGGGGACCUCUUUCCACUCUUUACUCUCAAGAUAGGAGGAUGGGUCUGGGGGAUUGUUUUUGGUUUUCUGGUUUUGUUUUACUCUGGUUUGGUCGGUUUUGUAUUUUUCUAUUUUUCCUUUUUUUCCCUUUUUUCUUUUUUGAUUUUUCUUUCCCGUUAUUCUCCCAGCCAAAAGCUACCUUCGACCCUUUUGAUUUGAUGUAGCAAAGAGUGUGUGUCCAGAUUAUCUGAAAUUGACACUGAAGAAGAGAUCUUGACCUGCAAGAGCGGACAACAACGUGACUCAGGCUGGGACCACUGAGCCUACCUAGGUCACAGGGAGGAAAAAAGGGACCGCAGAACAGCAGAGAUAGGACCUCCCAACCCUGCGCCAGCUGGCAGCUCCCUGCCAGAGAAGCAGAGACAUCCCUCCUUCCUCCCUUCCCCCAUAAGAGCCAAAGGCUCGAAGGCCGAACCUCCCGCCGCCGUCAGCCCACGGGGGCAGCUCUCAGAGAGCCAGGGAGGAGUUGUGAUGAGGGGA
Molecule: non-coding RNA, 535 nt
Filed under: Homo sapiens (human)
Lineage: Eukaryota; Metazoa; Chordata; Mammalia; Primates; Hominidae
Source: RNAcentral